Molecule: signal recognition particle RNA, 298 nt
Filed under: Aotus nancymaae (Ma's night monkey)
Lineage: Eukaryota; Metazoa; Chordata; Mammalia; Primates; Aotidae
Description: Metazoan signal recognition particle RNA (ENSANAG00000003851.1)
Rfam family: Metazoan signal recognition particle RNA
About the family: The signal recognition particle (SRP) is a universally conserved ribonucleoprotein. It is involved in the co-translational targeting of proteins to membranes. The eukaryotic SRP consists of a 300-nucleotide 7S RNA and six proteins: SRPs 72, 68, 54, 19, 14, and 9.
Source: RNAcentral
GCCGGGCACAGUGGUGCGUGCCUGUAGUCCCAGCUACUCGGGAGGCUGAGGUGGGAGGAUCACUUGAACCCAGAGUUCUGGGCUGUAAUGCGCUAUGCCGAUCUGGUGCCUGCACUAAGUUCGGCAUCAAUAUGGUGACCUCCUGGGAGCGGGGGACCACCAGGUUGCCUAAGGAGGGGUGAACUGGCCCAGGGCGGAAACAGAGCAGGUCAAAACUCCCGUGCUGAUCAGUAGUGGGAUCGCACCUGUGAACAGCCACUGCAUUCCAGCCUGGGCAACAUAGCGAGACCCCGUCUCU